ACACCUGUUCCCAUGCCGAACACAGAAGUUAAGCUCCUUAGCGCCGAUGGUAGUUGGAUUUACAUCCCGCUAGAGUAGGACGUUGCCAGGC
Molecule: ribosomal RNA, 91 nt
Filed under: Staphylococcus arlettae
Lineage: Bacteria; Bacillati; Bacillota; Bacilli; Caryophanales; Staphylococcaceae
Source: RNAcentral